This 336-nucleotide unclassified non-coding RNA is filed under the name soil metagenome. RNAcentral's name for it is "partial contains 5.8S ribosomal RNA, internal transcribed spacer 2, and large subunit ribosomal RNA". The stretch from base 1 to 120 matches the Rfam family "5.8S ribosomal RNA", at positions 35 to 154 of the family's 154-position model. The record is from RNAcentral.
GAUGAAGACCGUAGCGAAAUGCGAUAAGUAAUGUGAAUUGCAGAAUUCAGUGAAUCAUCGAAUCUUUGAACGCACAUUGCGCCCGCCAGUAUUCUGGCGGGCAUGCCUGUUCGAGCGUCAUUUCAACCAUCAAGCCCCCGGCUUGUGUUGGGGACCUGCGGCUGCCGCAGGCCCUGAAAAGCAGUGGCGGGCUCGCUGUCACACCGAGCGUAGUAGCAUACAUCUCGCUCUGGGCGUGCUGCGGGUUCCGGCCGUUAAACCACCUUCAUAACCCAAGGUUGACCUCGGAUCAGGUAGGAAGACCCGCUGAACUUAAGCAUAUCAAUAAGCGGAGGA